UACGUAGGAGACGAGCGUUGUCCGGAAUUACUGGGCGUAAAGCGCGUGUAGGCGGUUGAGCAAGUCUGCUGUGAAAGCUCCUGGCUUAACCGGGAGUGGUCGGUGGAAACUGCUCGUCUGGAGGACGGUAGAGGCUGGUGGAAUUCCCGGUGUAGUGGUGAAAUGCGUAGAGAUCGGGAGGAACACCUGUGGCGAAGGCGGCCAGCUGGGCCGGACCUGACGCUGAGACGCGAAGGCGUGGGGAGCGAACGGG
Molecule: ribosomal RNA, 253 nt
Filed under: uncultured bacterium
Lineage: Bacteria
Description: partial 16S ribosomal RNA
Rfam family: Bacterial small subunit ribosomal RNA
Source: RNAcentral